This 4619-nucleotide long non-coding RNA is filed under the name Podarcis lilfordi (Lilford's wall lizard). Lineage: Eukaryota; Metazoa; Chordata; Lepidosauria; Squamata; Lacertidae. The record is from RNAcentral.
CCAACUGUCAUUUUCUGGGGGUGGGGGCUGGGCAGAAGAAAAUGGAGGGGCGCAGCUUCACCCCUUGCUCAGCUGCAGCCUUUUCAGAGUCAAGGUCUCCAGAGGGCAUUCCUCAACCCCAAACAUUGUUUGUUUAAAUUGUACCAAGGUCUCCAGAGGUGAACUCCCAACUCCAUUUAUAUUUAUUUGCUUUUGUAAAAAUAGUGUGUGUGGGGAGAACCUCAGUGGUUUACAAAGAAAGAAAAAACGAUGAAAUUAUUGCUAACAAUCUUUGUUGUUGUUGUUUAGUUGUGUUCGCCUCUUCGUGACCCCAUGGACCAGAGCAUGCCAGGCACUCCUGUCUUCCACUGCCUCCCGCAGUUUGGUCAGACUCAUGCUGGUAGCUUCGAGAACACUGUCCCACCAUCUCGUCCUCUGCCGUCCCCUUCUCCUUGUGCCCUCCAUCUUUCCCAACAUCAGGGUCUUUUCCAGGAGUCUUCUCUUCUCAUGAGGUGGCCAAAGUACUGGAGCCUCAGCUUCAGGAUCUGUCCUUCCAGUGAGCACUUAGGGCUGAUUUCCUUAAGAAUGGAUCAGGUUUGAUCUUCUUGCAGUCCAUGGGACUCUCAAGAGUCUCCUCCAGCACCAUAAUUCAAAAGCAUCAAUUCUUCGGCGAUCAGCCUUCUUUAUGGUCCAGCUCUCACUUCCAUACAUUACUACUGGGAAAACCAUAGCUUUAACUAUAUGGACCUUUGUUGGCAAGGUGAUGUCUCUGCUUUUUUAAGAUGCUGUCUAGGUUUGUCAUUGCUUUUCUCCCAAGAAGCAGGCGUCUUUUAAUUUCGUGACUGCUGUCACCAUCUGCAGUGAUUAUGGAGCCCAAGAAAGUAAAAUCUCUCACUGCCUCCAUUUCUUCCCCUUCUAUUUGCCAGGAGGUGAUGGGCCCAGUGGCCAUGAUCUUCGUUUUUUUGAUGUUGAGCUUCAGACCAUAUUUUGUGCUCUCCUCUUUCACCCUCAUUAAAAGGUUCUUUAAUUCCUCCUCGCUUUCUGCCAUCAAGGUCGUGUCAUCUGCAUAUCUGAGUUGUUGAUAUUUCUUCCGGCAAUCUUAAUUCCGGCUUGGGAUUCAUCCAGCCCAGCCUUUACAGCCAUAAUUUAAAACACACAAAGUCAAAAACUACAACAGAACAUCAGUUUUAAUAAGGACAAACAAUAGGUUUUGGUCACAGGACAGUUGCAAGAUGGAAUUUUCUAGUGCAACUUCAUGCUUUUAAACAAAGGCUGUCAAGGCUGGACAUUUUUAGUUCUAAAGGUAAAUGUUUUGGAAACCAUUCAUGGAAACUAUUUAGCAAUCUGAGCUUCUACAGGUUUUUCAGGGCUUUGGUGUGUUUUAGGGAUAAACAAUGUUAUUUUUACAAAGCAACGCAGUAUUUACAUAGAAUAUUUUGGGUGGCUCUAAUCCUUCUGUUGUUGUUUAGCUGCUAAAUUGCAGGCUGGUGUUACAUGGAUUAUUUUAAAAGAAACCACAGGAGUAUCAUGUUCCCGAUGGUCACCAAGCUGGUUUUCUUUGCAUAAUACCGAAAGCAGCAAUAGUUGUAAAACAUGAUUACAAUGACACAAUCCCAGUUCAGGGGUGUUGGGGCACUUAAUCAAGUCAGCCUAACAUAAUUUGGGCUAAUUAAUUAAGUCAGCCUAACAUAAUUUGGGGGUGCAAGACCUUUUUUUGCUGCGGGCAUUUGGAAGUUGAAACAUCAAAGCAAUAUUUAGCUAUGAAAAUAAUAGCUCAAAGGUGCUGAUGUGUACCAGCAAUGGAAAUAUGGAACAGAGCAGAGGAAUACAUUGGUACUAGGGAGGGCCAAGCAACCUCAUUUAGAGGGAUAGCUUGCAAUGGAGCUACGUGUCCUUUUCAUGAGUGCAGGGUUGAGCCAAGAAGAGUGGAAACAGCUGCUACAAACCAGGAUGUUGAGAGGCAUUGCUUCUCACUCUUUGGGCAGAUACCUCUCCUGUUGGGAAAUGGCCUUGAAGGCCCUUAAAUCUAGGGCCUGGGUGGGGAUUCUUUAAUGGACAAUUAUUUAGUUACGUAAAACUAAUUUCUAGCCCACUUUUUUUCUAGACAGAUACUGCGGAGAGUAAACAGUAAUAUAAGGGAGGAGUUUGAUGCAGUGAUACGGAGAUCGUGGUCUGAUGGGGCAAUGUCCCCUCUCUUCUUCCAUGGCGCUGAGCCUCUUUGGCUUGCCGAUCAGAGUUGGCAGUCCGAAUCCGCGCAACAGGGUGAGCUCUCAUUGUUCUUUCCCAGCUUCUGCCAACCUAGCAGUUUGAAAGCACGCCAGUGCAAGUAGAUAAAUAGGUACCACUGCAGCGGGGAGGUAAACAGCGUUUCCGUGUGCUCUGGUUUCCGUCACGGUGUGCCAUUGCGCCAGAAGCUGUUUAGUCCUGCUGGCCACAUGACCCGGAAAGCUGUCUGUGGACAAACGCCGGCUCCCUCGUCCUGAAGCAAGAUGAACGCUGCAACCCCAUAGUCGCCUUUGACUGGAUUUAACCCUCCAGGGGUCCUUUACCUAUAUUUUUUUUUACCUCUAGCCAAUAGGUGGGGGUCACAGGGGGAAAGCCCUGCUGUUCUAACAGAAGUUCUUGUGUGGGUUUCCACUAGGAAGUGGCUCAUCAGCUGAAUACAGUGGUACCUCUGGUUAAGUACUUAAUUCGUUCCGGAGGUCCGUACUUACGGUAACCUGAAACUGUUCUUAACCUGAAGCACCACUUUAGCUAAUGGGGCCUCCUGCUGCUGCCACGCCGCCGGAGCCCAAUUUCUGUUCUCAUCCUGAAGCAAAGUUCUUAACCUGAAGCACUAUUUCUGGGUUAGCGGAGUCUGUAACCUGAAGCGUGUGUAACCUGAGGUACCACUGUACAACCCACAGUAAUCAACAACCAAGACACAUGAUACUUUUUCUCAUUUCUUUCUUUUAGUCAGUGCUGUUUUUCUAGAAAAAGAGAUGCCGGAACUCACCAUGAACACCUCCCUCAUUUUCUUAGAAUGGCAAUGGCACCCACUUGAGAGGUGCCGGAACUGAGUUCCUGGAAGUUCCCCCUGGGGGAAAUCCCUGCUUUUAAUUAUGUUUGUUAAUCUUUGUCCCCCAUCUCAACGUAAGUAUGUAUCUCUGUGUUGAAUACUGAGUAUAUAUAAAUUUUAAAACAUUAAAAACACAUAAGACAAAGAAAAGGCAGUAAGAAAUUUCAAAAGUACCGCAAUAGCUGCGAGAACAUUGUUAGCGAAGAAUUGGAAGAAACAAAAUUUACCAACUAUCGAAGAAUGGCAGAUAAUAAUAAUAAUAAUAAUAAUAAUAAUAAUAAUAAUAAUAAUAAUUUAUUUAUACCCCGGCCAUCUGGCUGGGCUUCCCCAGCCACUCUGAUGAAGAUGAUGGACUAUAUGGAACUUGCCGAACUGACCGGGAGACUCCGAGACCAGAGAUAAGAGAAGGUGGAAGAAGACUGGAAGAAGUUUAAGGAAUAUUUGAAAAAAUAUGUUAAUAUUUAAACCUUAGAAUAGCUUUGGAAGGGGACAUAGGCUGUAGGGUUAGAAGUAGAAGAUAGGGUAUUUAAAAAUAGUAUUAUUUGUAAGUGAUAAAAUGUGAAGUUAUUUUAAGUAUGAUUUUAAAAAAAGAUGGUUAGAAAUUAUGAUAUAUGUAAACUGCUAAAGAUGAAGUAAAAUGAAAAUCAGAUAGGGUGGGACUUGGGGAAGCCAACUUAACAAUGUUUAGAAAAAUAAGGAUAUGACAAGAAUUUGUUUGUAUUAUUUGUCUUCUCUGUCUGUGUUUUUUAUUUGUGUUAUAAAAUGAUUUUAAAAAAUUUGGGGGAAAAAAGAGAAAUUUCAAGAGUACCAGUGGAGGCUGGUCGAUUAGGGCGAAUGGGACACUGCCCCAGCAACCUCAGCCUGCCUUUUUACUUCCUUCAAGUCCUAGAAUCAUAGAGUAGGAAGAGAUCCCAAAAGUCAACUAAUCCAAUCCCCUGCAAUCCUUCCCACAGCCGUCCCUGGGUUUGCGUGAACCACUAACCUUCUGGUUAACAGCCAGAUGCACUGACCCAUUGUGGGGGUGCUACUGCCUGUUGGCUUCCUCCUCCUUAGUCCCUUGUGCAACUCAGCAGAGAGGAGGCUGGUGAGAAAACUGUAAUUAGUUGGCUCUGCCUGUUAGUGGCUUUGGCUCUGCACACUGUUGGGCUUCCUGCCUUCCGCCCUACUAGUCCCAAUGGGAACCAGCCAGCACAGAAGUGAACAACCAUCUUUUUAAAACAAGCACCAACCUUAAGGUUACCAGAGUUAGGUGAUAAUGUCAUAACUGGAGGAGUCUUGCAACUCCUAAGCUGCUUGGCUGGCGAGAUGGCAGCUGUCCAACAAACAAAGUUACCAAUCACAGCUUUGCCCAAUCAAGAGCCUAAUGUUAUAGCACUACCGGCUAUAGUGGAAACUCCUGUAACUUCAAACUAUUCAUUAUCACGUGUGAGAGCCAAAAGGAGCUACUUACUAUGUGAGGCUUAAUCAAGGAAAAUGAAAACCCAGGCAUCACUGAUUAUUUAUUUAAUAUAUUCCUGUAGAACAUCCAAUAGCAUACGAAAUGUGGGCAAUUCGCAUAAAUAGAAGAUUGAAAUGUAAUAUU